CAGCCGCCGCGGUAAUACGUAGGGUGCGAGCGUUAAUAGGAUUUACUGGGCGUAAAGCGUGCGCAGGCGGCCCGUUAAGACAGGUGUGAAAUCCCUGGGCUCAACCUAGGAAUUGCGCUUGUGACUGGCGGGCUCGAGUACGGUAGAGGGGGGUGGAAUUCCUGGUGUAGCAGUGAAAUGCGUAGGGAUCAGGUGGAACACCGAUGGCGAAGGCAGCCCCCUGGGCCUGUACUGACGCUCAUGCACGAAAGCGUGGGGAGCAAACAGGAUUAGAUACCCUGGUAGUCCACGCCCUAAACGAUGGGUACUAGCCGUUUGUGGCGCGAUAGCGCUGAGUGGCGAAGCUAACGCGUGAAGUACCCCGCCUGGGGAGUACGGCCGCAAGGUUGAAACUUAAAGGAAUUGGCGGG
RNAcentral lists this ribosomal RNA (410 nucleotides) under uncultured microorganism. Its description in RNAcentral is "bacterial SSU rRNA". It matches the Rfam family "Bacterial small subunit ribosomal RNA", at positions 509 to 917 of the family's 1533-position model. The record is from RNAcentral.